Molecule: long non-coding RNA, 496 nt
Filed under: Numida meleagris (helmeted guineafowl)
Lineage: Eukaryota; Metazoa; Chordata; Aves; Galliformes; Numididae
Description: lncRNA (ENSNMEG00000019960.1)
Source: RNAcentral
GUGGAAUGAUGCAGGAGCUGUGUAAUAGAAUGGAACAAAUUUUCUAGUGCAUACGUAUGUUUAUAUAUAAAAACAUAAAUAUUUGGGGGUUGGACUAGGUCCCUUCCAACCCCUUUGAUUCUGUGAUUCUGUAUAUAUGCACUUAUAAAUACAUAAACAUCUACAUAUACAUAUAAACGUAUAUCUGCAUAUAUAUAUGUUUAUUCACUCACCCUUGCACAUUUGUGUAUUGGCGCAGUAACCCUCAGUGGGGAUGCUAUGGACCACCUCCCGCUGGCAGAGAUGGUGGCAACGUGGGCUGAGAGCAAAGGGAACAUCGUGCAGAAAGACCCUACGCAAGUGAGUAUGGAAGAGAGGAUGGAUAUUGAUGCUUGUGCCCCAGACCAGCCUGCUCCUUGUGACAGACUGCAAUAAGCCAUCGCUGGACGAUGAUAGAAAGGUUCUUUGAAAAUCUCUCCAAGAUGCUUCCAAUAAAAGAAUUGUGCAACUAUUCCCA